Molecule: ribosomal RNA, 486 nt
Filed under: uncultured bacterium
Lineage: Bacteria
Description: bacterial SSU rRNA
Rfam family: Bacterial small subunit ribosomal RNA
Source: RNAcentral
CAGGCCUAACACAUGCAAGUCGAACGGUAACAGGAAGCAGCUUGCUGCUUCGCUGACGAGUGGCGGACGGGUGAGUAAUGUCUGGGAAACUGCCUGAUGGAGGGGGAUAACUACUGGAAACGGUAGCUAAUACCGCAUAACGUCGCAAGACCAAAGAGGGGGACCUUCGGGCCUCUUGCCAUCGGAUGUGCCCAGAUGGGAUUAGCUAGUAGGUGGGGUAACGGCUCACCUAGGCGACGAUCCCUAGCUGGUCUGAGAGGAUGACCAGCCACACUGGAACUGAGACACGGUCCAGACCCCUACGGGAGGCAGCAGUGGGGAAUAUUGGACAAUGGGCGGAAGCCUGAUCCAGCAACGCCGCGUGAGGGAUGACGGCCUUCGGGUUGUAAACCUCUUUCGGUGGGGACGAAGGCUCUGUCGUGAGGCGGGGUGGACGGUACCCACUAAAGAAGCACCGGCCAACUACGUGCCAGCAGCCGCGGUAAU